GGAUCUCCCAGGGCUGAACCCAGGAGGAAGACUAUGGCCAAGAGAGCUCAGAGGAUGCCGCUCCUGAAGGCCAGCCCUGGGAAGGGUGGAGAGUGGGUCUGGAGGAACAAAGGCAGAGAUAUCGAGCAGGUAUGUGAUCUUGCAACAAGGUGGAACCUGGCCAGGCACGUGACCAAGGACCUUCAGGCAACCUGGAAAACCAGGGUUUUCAGAGAUGCAAAGCGGAGAUAGCCAGAGAGCAGGCCGGGCAGGUAAAAGGUCAGGACAGAUCGGUAACUCGGGCUGAGAUAAGGAGGAGGCCUGGGGAGGGAACCUGUUGCUUUGAUAAAAUGCUAAGCUAGAGUCUGACCUCUGGAAGAGAUUAGAGGAGACUGAAUGAGCUAAAUUAUGAGGCCAGCCCAGGAGAAAUCCUUCCCCCUAUUUCAAUAUCACCCUGUGUUUCUCCUUCCCAGCUAAACGUCUGACCUCAAACAAAUAAUUGUUUAGUACCUGCCGGGAGCCCUGAGGAUGGAGGGAACAGCAUGAACAUCCCUUUUCUCCUGGAGUUUACAUGCUGGAGAGGAUGUCAAGUCUCGCUUGAUCCCUUAUGAUUUGGUUUGAUUCUGAAAACCGAACAUGAUGGACGUUCUGUGUGAUAAAGGACUUAUAAAAUCCAUGUAAACUACAGAAGUGGACCUGGGGAAGGGACAGGAACUCUUCCCAUGGGAGACCUGCGUGGGCUUUGCACAGAAGAUGACACGGGAGCAGGUGGAAGUGCUAGUGGCGAUGUAGGCUCUCAGCUCCUGACGUCUUGUGGGAAAGCGUUCAUCACACAACCUCAGGAGAUUUUGAGAGCAUGUUGGUUAAAGCUAGGGACAGUGGACCAAAAAAAGGGCUUAAGAUAGAAGAGGCAAGAUCAUCACAACAGGACUGAGCCCAGGUAUGGCUGCCUCGGCCCUUUCGAAAGAAAGCCACGCAGGCGGAAGAAGGGCCUU
Long non-coding RNA from Phyllostomus discolor (pale spear-nosed bat), 974 nucleotides. RefSeq lists it as uncharacterized. Lineage: Eukaryota; Metazoa; Chordata; Mammalia; Chiroptera; Phyllostomidae. The transcript has 3 exons. The record is from RefSeq and is a predicted model, not a curated record.